Molecule: long non-coding RNA, 1030 nt
Organism: Anguilla rostrata (American eel)
Lineage: Eukaryota; Metazoa; Chordata; Actinopteri; Anguilliformes; Anguillidae
Exons: 4
Source: RefSeq, a predicted model, not a curated record
CACAUAAAGACCAUGGUCAUUACCGUUCAACAGGAAAUGACGUAUAUGAACGCGUCGCUAAGAGAUGUCUGCUUGCAGUUUAGUGUCAUAGUUCUGCAGAUUGUCGAAAGCAUUACUUGAAGUCAUUUUUCGUCAGAAAAUAUAGCACCAUACCUCUCUCCGGUGGAGCAAGUCUUCUCCCAGGUCUCCACACAACGGUCCCAAAUAGAGGACUUUGGCUCCAGUUUCAGGUUCGAGCAUUUUGUGCUGUGUAGAGACCACUGUCCACUUCCAUGGCAAUUUCCCCCAGCACUCAACAGGAGUCAAGCAGCCUGACGUUAGCCUCUAUGGACACUGCUGGCAGAAGGGUCUAUCUUUGCCCUGUUUUUUUCAGUGCCUGGCUCCCCUGUACUCUCCCAGGUUCCCCAACCCCAUCUCCAGCAGCAUAAUGCCCAGAACAACAGGACCAGCGGCCGAAGGAGAGACAUGACCAGCGGCAGCAGCAGCGUGUUGGUGGGGCUUCUGGGAUGGUCAGAUGUUGAAAUACGCCCCCUCACUCCCUCACUUGAGCCGUGGUUUACAGACUGUAGAAGAAUGACCCUCGCUGGGAAAACAUUGCAUGAAGGUGUGACCAAACCCCUCCUCCCACCACACCAGAACGCGGAGUCAGCUCUCCAGGACACUUACCCUCAUUGCCCUGUGCCCCCUCCCAGGCGCCCUGCUAUCCCACAGUAAAAUAUGUUCCUCUUUUUCGACCCUCUCCAGUGUGUCAGCAGACAGCUGUUUAUCCUGAUGGAUUUAUCGUGAGGUGUUAGUAGUUUUUAUGCAACUAACUCAAAAACAGCAGGUGCACAAGUUGAUUUGAGGUGCAGCUUUUUAUGAUAUAGUUUUUUAUUAUUUCAACAGGAGAUAAGGUACUUAGAAUAGGGUGAAAUUUGUGCUCAUCAGAUUUCAGGAAUUCCUGUGUUUCAACUUGAUUUACUGCCUCUGGCAUUCCUUGAUAUGUAGCUGGACUUCUCAGAAAAGAACUAAACGUUAAAAAAAACUAAAA